This 576-nucleotide ribosomal RNA is filed under the name uncultured Lactobacillus sp. RNAcentral describes it as "bacterial SSU rRNA". It matches the Rfam family "Bacterial small subunit ribosomal RNA", at positions 8 to 553 of the family's 1533-position model. Lineage: Bacteria; Bacillati; Bacillota; Bacilli; Lactobacillales; Lactobacillaceae. The record is from RNAcentral.
AGAGUUUGAUCCUGGCUCAGGACGAACGCUGGCGGCGUGCCUAAUACAUGCAAGUCGAGCGAGCGGAACCGACAGAUUUACUUCGGUAAUGACGUUGGGAAAGCGAGCGGCGGAUGGGUGAGUAACACGUGGGUAACCUGCCCAAGAGACUGGGAUAACAUUUGGAAACAGAUGCUAAUACCGGAUAAGAAAGCAGAUCGCAUGAUCAGCUUAUAAAAGACGGAUUUCUGUCACUCUUGGAUGGACCUGCGGUGCAUUAGCUAGUUGGUAAGGUAACGGCUUACCAAGGCGACGAUGCAUAGCCGAGUUGAGAGACUGAUCGGCCACAUUGGGACUGAGACACGGCCCAAACUCCUACGGGAGGCAGCAGUAGGGAAUCUUCCACAAUGGACGCAAGUCUGAUGGAGCAACGCCGCGUGAGUGAAGAAGGUUUUCGGAUCGUAAAGCUCUGUUAUUGGUGAAGAAAGAUAGAGGUAGUAACUGGCCUUUAUUUGACGGUAAUCAACCAGAAAGUCACGGCUAACUACGUGCCAGCAGCCGCGGUAAUACGUAGGUGGCAAGCGUUGUCCGGAUUUA